UCUUUUCAUAGCCAUUAGAUUCAAAUAUAAAGUACUAGAUUAGUUCAGAUUGAAUGGUCCAACUUUGAAUAGUGCAGUCCACGCUACUACGUACACUAAUAGUUGUUGUCCCGCUUCAUUUCUCUUCCAUUCGCACAUACCAGAAACAAAUCUUCCUUCACUUUCUUGCUUUCUGAUCCUUUGCAUUGCUUUUAGCUUUGAAGAUUUGACUUGCACCAUCACUUUACUUCAGCAUGGUUGUGUUUGACACAGAAGGUUGAAGUUUACAAGACUUGCUUGUCUUCCUUUCGUCUCAUUGUGCUGUGAUUGUUGCUCAUUCCGGUGGAAAAAAAUGCAGUAGGCUUUCAGUUGCUUCUUUCCUUAUUGCUUGGAGUUGCAACUUCCACACAAUUUCAAAUGACAGAAACAUAACCCCAGCUAAGUGUCAAUCUGAAAAGGCAUAUUGGACGUAGAGGUAGACCCAUGGGGCUAAGGACAGGAUUUGCCUUCUGUGCACUCAAUUCAGGUUGGCCAGGUCUUUCUGGAAAAGCAUGUUCCCUCUGGCUGCUUCCUGAAGGACCAGCAGCAGGUGGAAUGGAUAGAUACUGUCCUGUAUAUGCUGGAGCAGAAGGAGACAACUGAGAUAUUCCAUAAAUAUGGCCAGCUCCCACAGCAGGUUGAGUACUUGCAGUGGCUGCAAGACUUACAGGCUCAAAUGCACAUACUGGGUAAGAAGUCCAAGCCGGAAGAGGAACCAUUGCAGGGGGAAGCAGCAUAGGACCAUAUGUACCAGGGAUGUAUGAACCUGGAAGUAGAGUAGGCCUUGGAACUGGCCAGUUUCCAGCCACUACAACAUACUGUUGAGAUGAUUGCACAGAAGGAGAUUGCACAGGAGGAUAAAUAGCAGGCGCGGGUUCAGUUGCUGGUGCAGGCAGAGGUCCAGGUCCAGGUCCAGGCGCUGGUGCUGGCAUUUGAACACCGGCUGGCUGUGGAUGAUGAUAUUUACAGGAAGCACCAAAUUUGCAAUUUCCAGUCCUCAUGUAGAACUACAAGAUUUAGUGAAGAACAGAAGCAACGUGAGAUAGAAAUUCACAACAAAAGCACAUGAUCGUGCCUCUGCAACAUCAACUACAUAAGCUAUCUACUAUAUUUGCCAUGCAGCUCUCGGUUUGUCUCUUUACUAUUUUACUCAUUGUCUCUGUCACUGCUUAUUUCACCAACAUAUGUUAUUAGUGAAGCAUAUUCUGACAGUGUACAUGGUUAAAAUUGCUGAGUUAUUAGUGAAGCAUAUUUUGUAUCUUUUGUCUGUUAUAUGCUUUCAUUGCUCGUUUUUACGUAAACUUUUGCUGUUUCAACUUUCAAUAUAAAGCUGUUAUAUUCAAUAAGUUUAUUUAUUAUCAGGCAAUAUCUUCUGCUUUUCAUUAUUCGGUUCCACAGUUGAUGAACCAAACGGGUAAAGUUGUUGAACCACAUUCAUGUGGUUAUGCAGCAAAAACAGCUGAUGUUAGCUAUCUUAGCAACCAUCAGUGUGCUGGUAUAGGCAUGAGGAACAAUAGUUCUGCUUGCACACCAGAACAACUGAUUACAUUGCCUACUGAAUAUGUAGGCAGAUCACAAACCAAAAAAACAGCUAAGCUUGAGCUGUUCUUCAUCACAGAAACAUACACAAUCUACUCUGUUGUCUGGUACAAUUAGCAGAGAGUACAGUCUUGUACAUAAUCAAUCUUCUCAUUCAAGCUCUACUACAAAUUUGAGUAGAGAUAUGCUUAUAUUGCAAGCGGCUCCUUCGAGUAGCAAUACUUCUAUCCUUCUGGAUAGACAUCUAGGUAGUGUCUUCUAUUCUCAUGAAGAUUGUCCUUCAGUUUCCAUAGAUUCUCAUGGUACUAAUAUCUGAACUUCUACAUAUGACUUUUAGUAGUCAAUAGUGAACCUGUUGAAGAAUUAGCUAAUCAAAGAAAUCAUGGUCAAAAUAAAAGAAAACGUCCAGGUUAGCUUUGACCUUUAUUACUGAUUUAAAUUCAUAGUAUUAGUAGGCAUUUAAAUUAUUGGUUACUUCAGGUAUUAUUGCUUUUGGUUACUUCAGGUAUUGUUAUUGGUUAC
Coffea arabica (coffee) is the source of this 2079-nucleotide non-coding RNA. The record is from RefSeq and is a predicted model, not a curated record. Lineage: Eukaryota; Viridiplantae; Streptophyta; Magnoliopsida; Gentianales; Rubiaceae.